UAAAAACACAAAAAUAUACUUGACACUGAUUCUACCCAGCUAUACAACGGGACUUUAUGAUGCAAUUAGACACGCGUCUGCUCCAUAGUGCUCGUCACAAGAUUCUUGUCUCCCACAAAAACUCUCUCUCGUCGUCGUCGUCGCUUUUAAUCGAUUUCAUACGUAUUCUAAUAAAUCAUUUCCCGAUGCGUUCAAUGUAGUUUCAGACUCCUCAGAUUCAAUGGAAAAUCAUCAAUCACAUCCUUAUACAAAAUUGCAAUACCCCAGUCCUUUGAUAUCGUAGAAAUUCCAACUAUUCCUUUUGACUCUCUCUCUCUAUCUCAUCAAUCAGAUGGCACAAUCUCAUCUGAUUGUGUUCUUCGCAGCAGUCUCGUGUCUCGUCGGUGUGCUCAACGCAAGUUCCGGUGAUGCUGAUCCGAUUUACAAGCAAUGGCCUUGCCAUUGAGCCGGCCCUGCUUGACGGGUAGGAUGAGAUCCUGGUUAGAUAUUUGGUGCUGGGAAGUUGACUUGUGUUCUUGGAAUUGGUGGAUUUCCAUAGCAACUGUCAGAUAAAUUAGACUAUCUAUGUGCAAGGUAGAUAGAUUUUCAUUUUGAUCAUUUGGUGAUUUUCCUCAAUUUUUUUGUUUGAAUUCCUACAAGAUUGUUGUAUCCUAUGGGUGAAAAUAGAUUGUGUGCAAGAUAAAUGCCUUUUUAGUUAAAUGCUGGAUGAUAAUGUGGUCUUUCCUUC
This is a long non-coding RNA of Cornus florida, 727 nucleotides long. RefSeq lists it as uncharacterized. The record is from RefSeq and is a predicted model, not a curated record. NCBI's taxonomy places the organism in Eukaryota, Viridiplantae, Streptophyta, Magnoliopsida, Cornales, Cornaceae. The transcript is spliced from 2 exons.